This 482-nucleotide ribosomal RNA is filed under the name uncultured bacterium. Its description in RNAcentral is "SSU rRNA". It matches the Rfam family "Bacterial small subunit ribosomal RNA", at positions 26 to 523 of the family's 1533-position model. The record is from RNAcentral.
AGGACGAACGCUGGCGGCGUGCUUAACACAUGCAAGUCGAGCGACGCUCCUCCUUCGGGAGGAUGACGGAGCGGCGAACGGGUGAGUAACACGUGGGCAACCUGCCCCCUAGCUCUGGGAUAACCCCGGGAAAUCGGGACUAAUACCGGAUAUGAAGUCGGACGGCAUCGUCUGACUUGGAAAGUUUUUCGGCUAGGGAUGGGCCCGCGGCCUAUCAGCUUGUUGGUGGGGUAAUGGCCUACCAAGGCGACGACGGGUAGCCGGCCUGAGAGGGCGACCGGCCACACUGGGACUGAGACACGGCCCAGACUCCUACGGGAGGCAGCAGUGGGGAAUAUUGCACAAUGGGCGAAAGCCUGAUGCAGCGACGCCGCGUGAGGGAUGACUGCCUUCGGGUUGUAAACCUCUUUCAGCAGGGACGAAGCGAAAGUGACGGUACCUGCAGAGAAGCACCGGCAACUACGUGCCAGCAGCCGCGGUAA